This is a long non-coding RNA of Micropterus dolomieu (smallmouth bass), 4701 nucleotides long. RefSeq lists it as uncharacterized. NCBI's taxonomy places the organism in Eukaryota, Metazoa, Chordata, Actinopteri, Centrarchiformes, Centrarchidae. The transcript is spliced from 4 exons. The record is from RefSeq and is a predicted model, not a curated record.
CCAUGGGGCUUUAUAGAACCAUGAUAGAGAAAGAUCAAGAGGUGAAUUUGUGAAUUAUACUUUGUCAGUUAAAUGAAACCAGGCAGCUUUCAGUGUUUGAGAACUGUGCUGUUUUUUAAUCGCCCACUAGAGGGCUGCAGCGCCGCAAUAACCAGCCUAGUUCAAAUGAACCAAAUGACACACAAAAAAAGAUUAGUUCAUUUUAAUGAACGAGAUUUGGUGACUCAGUCCGAGUACCAUCACUACUGAAUACGCCCAAUCUACUGCAAAGUCUCUGAGGGGCAUGAUAGUGACUUUGGGCUAAACUCACACUAAACUUGUAGAUUAAUCUUUAAAUUAAAUUCUUUUAUAAUAACUAAUAUUAUUCCCCUUCUCUCGCCGCUGGCUCCUUUUAUGUGCAGCUGUACCUUAACAUCUUAAUCAUAUACACAUAAAAGAAGCCCAUAAAAUACAGAAUAGAGAAUCAGCCUCCAACAAGAACACUGAAGAUAAUCAGUCCUCCCUGAACCAGUAACAGGAGCGGAGACGACCUUCAACCAUGCCCACGUAAACCGGGGACCGAACAGAGAAGGACUUCAGCCUGAGGGUUUCUCCUGACAGGACCUGUGACGUCACCAGAACCUGUGCAGUCUUGCACAACAUCACCACCCUGAGAGACCAGAUCCAGAAUGACGGGAAGACUCUGAGUCAGCUGACUCACCAACUGCGAGGAAGCUUCAGGGCCCAUUUCAGUUCGUUGUGACUCAGGGCCACUUCUUAAUUGGCAGCUCAGCGUUGAAAGCUGUGGACAGGCUGCAAAAAGCAGAACAGCACCGAUCGCUGCCACGGCCAUGAAGCCCCGCCCCCCUGCAGGUAGUAAAGCAAAAGAAGGAUCUGCAUAAGGUGCCCAGUGCUUUAACUAAACAAGACCUUCUCCAUCAUGGUCCAGCUUCUUACCUGCUGUUGCAGAACUGCGGUCACGUUGCCGAAGUACGAAGAUAAAUCUGCUGAGCCAUCGACACUGGACAACUGGAGAGAGAGGGGAAUAAUCAGGUGUUGGGCCAGACUCCUUUGUACAUCUCACCAAUUAUCACUCACAGAAACAACCAUGACAGUGUCCUCCAAAACCAAGAGGACACCAAUAAAGAAGGUGUGGGUAGUGUGGCGAGUGAUAUGAACCUCAUCCUUUAUGAGGCAGCUGUUGAUGCUGACAGGGGGGAAAAAAUAAUAAUAAAAACCCCAAAGAAAUAGAAACAAAAAGAGAAAUGUUUUGACCUGAAGUGCAGAACCAUCAGAAAGGAACUUGGAACGGUCAAGUCAACCUGAAGACCCAGGUUUGAUCUGAGAUGGUAUGAAGCCCUCAAACUAUACAAACACUACACCUACUAAACACUAGAAGAUAUUUAAACUCCACUGACCAAAAUGACUUCUGGGAUAUGUGGAAUAAAUAAAGCACAAGCAAACCACAUGCAUUCAAGAUGUUUUGUAGAUCUUUCUGAAGACGUGCCACCGAAAGAAACAAAUUCAAAUCACAAUCUGAUCAGAGAAAAACUCAACCCAAACCUGAAACCCCUGUUUAAGACGACUAAAACCCACUGGAUUUUCCAAUCUCACAUGAAAAAUUUAUCUGGAAAAUCAAACCUCUAAAAACAUACAAAGCAUGAGGCGCUGACAGCAUUUCAAAUGAAAUAAUUAAAAACUGCAGAGCUCAAAUGAUUUAACACCGUUUUAAUGUCUCCCGUCCGUCAGAGUGGAGAGAAAUGUGACCCCAACAUCCACAGAGGGAUCUGUGUGAGCAGUGAUUUAGGAUAUUCCUAAAAAAUAUCACACGACCGACCGCAUGUUUACUGUGCAUUACCUCUCUGAAAAACCUCAAACAAAAAAAGGAACACUCUUCGCCUGUUCUGUUGACUUUAAAAAGGCAUUUAAUUCAGUUUGGCCAGAUGGAGUCCUACAACGGUAUAGGAGCAAAGGUCUACGACACCAUGAAAUCCACGAACACAGGAAAACAAGUGCAACAUUAAAACUGGUGACAAACACUCCAAUUUCUUUACCCAGAGGAGAAAAGGGCCGGAGUCUCACACUGUUUAAUAUCAGCAGUGCAGGUGUACCAAGGUACAGCGCCACGACUCCAACUCAAACAUGGAGUUCUUAAGUCAAGUUUUAUGCAGAUGACCUGGUGCCGUCACCCACAGAAGGAGGACUUCAGCAGCAGCUAGACCUCCUGGAACAAUACUGCCAGAACUGCAAAAAACUGCACUUAACUUCCUGAUGCACCUCAGAUCAAGUCCCCCAGACUCUCAAAACCCUGAAAUGAGUCCAGCUAGUCCAGAGACUAGGUGAGGGACAGACAGGUGUUCAGACAGACAGGUGAGAGACAGACAGGUGUUCAGACGGACAGGUGUUCAGACAGACAGGUGAGAGACAGACGGGUGUUCAGACAGACAGGUGAGAGACAGACAGGUGAGAGACAGACAGGUACUCACACAGCUUCCCUGCUCCAGCAGUUGGUCCUGCAGGUUUUGGAAGUUGUCGAAUUUCGUAUUGUCCCAGCUGACUCCGCCCUCUCCGACAGGUAACUCAUGCUCCUCGAAGAUUUGCGCCGCCUCCCACAGUGACUUAAACACCACCCAUAAUGCUUGGCGGCACUGCAGGGAACCAAUCAGAGGGAAGGCGGAUCCUGGGAAGGAGAUGUUGGCGUUGUACACCAUGCAGUGGAGAGGAAACGGCCCCGCCUACAGGACAGACGGGAACUUUAUCAGCAACUAAGCCUAAGCUACACAUAGAAAGAAACUGACCUAGCUAACAUUAGCCAUGCUAAGCUACACAUAAAAAGACACUGACCUAGCUAACAUUAGCCAUGCUAAGCUACACAUAAAAAGACACUGACCUAGCUAACAUUAGCCAUGCUAAGCUACACAUAGAAAGAUGCUCACACAGCUAACAUAAAAAUGCUAAGCUACACAUAGAAAGAUGCUGACCCAGCUAACAUUAGCCAUGUUAAGCUAAACUACAGUAAACGUGAGCUAAACGUAAGAUAAACACGUGACAGGUCGUACCAGGUCUCUGAGCAGGUGGUGGGCCGACAAAACCAGGUCUCCCCGCAGAGAACAGGUUGGCAUGCCAACCACCAUGAGCUGGAGGCUGCAGACCUGCAGGAGGACGAGGAGGACUGAAGACAGCGUCAUGGUUCCGGUGGUCCUGGUCUGGGUGGUUUUGUUUCAGGUUAUCUUCAGCUGGUCCUGGUUCUUCAGGUGGUUCUGUGUCUUUAGGUCCAGAGGUUCUGAAACAGACCUCAGUUUUAGUUCAGAGUUCUGCAGACAUUCUGCAGACAUUCUGACGAGUCUUAAAAACCUUUACCUGAAGCGGGUCCUGGUCCUGGUUCUUCAGGUGAUCUUGGCUUCUGGUCCUGGUCCCGGUCCUGGUCUGGUCUGAGCUGGACUGAGAUGCUUCAGGUGUGUUGUGUGAGUUUAGGUACCUGGAAAAGAGAGCAGCUGAUUGGCUUGCUGUGAGGACCAAUCAUCAGCUUGUCUGAGUCAUCAAACCACGAGUCUGAUCCAAACCACAGCAGCAGAGACCUGGACGCCGCCAGGUGAGUCACUGCGGGUUCAUCCAGGUACGCCGUCCUGUCAGUGAGGAGGUUCUGGGUUCAUCCUGACUGACAGAAGGAUUAACAAACCAAAAACCGGGAUUCCACUAUACUUGUGGGGUCCAACAGCUUUGUGGGGACCAAACUGCAAGACCCCACAAGUUUAAACGGCCGUUUGAGGGUCCAGACUUGGUUUCAGGCCGGUAGUUGUGAUGGUUGACGGUUAGGGGUUAGUGAAUGCAGCGUGUGUGGACUCGCCCUCCUGGUGGGGACAUAAAUCAGGUCCCCACAACACAAACCCUAAACCUUGAGGUUUGUGUUGAUUGUCUCUUUUCAUCCCGACAGCGAUCAAUCAGAUGGUCUGACAGACGAGACAAAACGCCGCUGUGUGUGGCUGCAGGCCUGUAGUGAGCUCGGCCAAUCACGUCGUCAGUAGUGACUAAUAACUACACAGAGUUUGUGUGGUGAUAACCGGCUGAACAUAGGGGUGAAACUAGCAUUUUCACUGGCCGACGUACGCUUCCCACUGAGUCACAUGACCUCUGACCUUCAGGCGACGCCGCAGGUCGAACCAUGAGUCAGAUGAUGGAAACUGCUUGUUGUAAUAACGCCACAUUAUUUCCCAUCAGCAGGUUUCCAGAGCGGCGGCGGCGGUCAGAAAGACCGAGAGUCAGAGCCGAGCUGGAAACACGCGGGGACGCCACAAACACAAAGUUAAGUUUCAUUUCAGCGCCGCCUGCCAGCAGCGCCCGGACUGAGACGCCAGCUUCUGACUCCACGUCUCAAAGUUUCAGCAUUAAUGAAGGAGUGAAAGUGAGAAGCUGAUGUGAGUCAACAAACAGCAGAGAUGCUGGAAGGAAACCUCAUCUCGUCUCUGAGCUGACGCUUCCACCUCUGGCCGCCAGAACGCUCCACGCGGAAACCGUUCGACGCUAUGACGCUCAGCUGCAUCACCGCGGCGUGUUCGACGCCGCGUUCAGGUUCCAUCUGACGUUCCAAACCUAAAGUUCAACACCGAGAAUGUCCAGAGCUGCAGCUCACCGAGGAUUACAUGCAUUCAUUUAAGUACUAAUACCUCAACUGCAGUAAAAGUACUAAAGUAUGUGAGUAUACUCAGUAUUAAAGUACUAAAG